RNAcentral lists this ribosomal RNA (245 nucleotides) under Acinetobacter baumannii OIFC032. RNAcentral's name for it is "partial 16S ribosomal RNA". It matches the Rfam family "Bacterial small subunit ribosomal RNA", at positions 164 to 411 of the family's 1533-position model. Lineage: Bacteria; Pseudomonadati; Pseudomonadota; Gammaproteobacteria; Moraxellales; Moraxellaceae. The record is from RNAcentral.
UAAUACCGCAUACGUCCUACGGGAGAAAGCAGGGGAUCUUCGGACCUUGCGCUAAUAGAUGAGCCUAAGUCGGAUUAGCUAGUUGGUGGGGUAAAGGCCUACCAAGGCGACGAUCUGUAGCGGGUCUGAGAGGAUGAUCCGCCACACUGGGACUGAGACACGGCCCAGACUCUUACGGGAGGCAGCAGUGGGGAAUAUUGGACAAUGGGGGGAACCCUGAUCCAGCCAUGCCGCGUGUGUGAAGA